GUCUCAUCGGAGACAUCCGAUAAAAUUGGAACGAUACAGAGAAGAUUAGCAUGGCCCUUGCGCAAGGAUGACAUGCACAAUUAGAGAAAUGGUCCAAAUUUUU
Molecule: small nuclear RNA, 103 nt
Filed under: Amborella trichopoda
Lineage: Eukaryota; Viridiplantae; Streptophyta; Magnoliopsida; Amborellales; Amborellaceae
Source: RNAcentral